UGUGUAGUUAUACUGCAACGUGUACCACAACGUCGUAUAUCUCAUCCGCUAGGAACAUAAGGGGGAACUUGCGAUUAAACCCGACGGAAGUCUGCAGAGGUCCGCGGCUCACUUUAGGGGCGAAACAGCCGGUCGUGCUCAACUCUCUCUGACUUCUUAAGUAGAAGAGAACUAGAGUGGGUUUACCUGCCGCUUCGGUGCACUCGAAGGACGAGCUUCAGAAUAAUGUCACCGCUCAUCACGAUCUGCUUCUUUGCGGCUUUGGGAUUCCUGACGCUGAAUGUCGAUGCGAGCACCCUUCAAGACUGGAGGCCUCCACAAUGUGAGCAGGGAAUGGAAUACACUGGAUGCGAAACAGCAUGUCCACGCAUUUGCGGUGAGCCCCGACCGACUACGUGCUACCUUGUGUGCAUUCAUGCGUGCAAGUGCAAAGAGGGCUUUAUACGCUCUGGAACGGCAAAUGGGCCAUGUAUUCCAGAAAAUGAAUGUGAUCGUCUUCCGGAGGACUUCCCUACCGAAGCCCGUCCAGCACUCCCGUCGUUUGUCUAAACGGCGAGGACGUCAACGCAGAUUGCACGUGGUCUUGAUUUUCUUAACAUGAUUAGACUGAAGUAAACAUGUUUCUUCACAUG
Ornithodoros turicata is the source of this 632-nucleotide long non-coding RNA. RefSeq lists it as uncharacterized. The record is from RefSeq and is a predicted model, not a curated record. Lineage: Eukaryota; Metazoa; Arthropoda; Arachnida; Ixodida; Argasidae. The transcript has 3 exons.